GGGCAGUAGUGAGUUGGGUAUAGAGAGAACACAGUGUUAGCACCUGUGAUGUUCAAUAAGACAAACACAGCCCUGAUACAGUGUUAAUUUACACAUUAUAAUCUUUAACAUUUAUUGAACUGUUCAGACAAAUUGAUUUGCUACAUGAACACAAAACAAAUGGCUGACAUGUUGGGUAUGGACUAGAGAGGAGAGUCUGGGUUGGAGUCAGGACUGACCUGUUAGGUAUGGAGAGGAGAGUCUGGGUUGGAGUCAGGACUGACCUGUUAGGUAUGGAGAGGAGAGUCUGGGUUGGAGUCAGGACUGACCUGUUAGGUAUGGAGAGGAGAGUCUGGGUUGGAGUCAGGACUGACCUGUUAGGUAUGGAGAGGAGAGUCUGGGUUGUAGUCAGGACUGACCUGUUAGGUAUGGAGAGGAGAGUCUGGGUUGGAGUCAGGACUGACCUGUUAGGUAUGGAGAGUAGAGUCUGGGUUGGAGUCAGGGACGGAGGGUCAGUGAGUCUGGUCUCUAAACUGAGAGAGGAGAGAAUGAAGAAGGGUUGUUAUGGUGUCGCUGACCCUGCUCAGUCCUGAUUCAUUUAGGAUUUUAGACAAAUCUGACAGAUUUGAUCAAAUCUCCGGACACAUUUUAUCGGAAUCACAGUUUUGAGAUAAAUAUUAUUUAAAGUCAGAGAGGGCUAUUGCAAGAAAAUACAUUAAAUCCUUUUUCAGUUUUU
This 715-nucleotide long non-coding RNA is filed under the name Salmo salar (Atlantic salmon). RNAcentral's name for it is "lncRNA (ENSSSAG00000107699.1)". Lineage: Eukaryota; Metazoa; Chordata; Actinopteri; Salmoniformes; Salmonidae. The record is from RNAcentral.